This is a long non-coding RNA of Musa acuminata AAA Group (dessert banana), 1837 nucleotides long. RefSeq lists it as uncharacterized. The record is from RefSeq and is a predicted model, not a curated record. NCBI's taxonomy places the organism in Eukaryota, Viridiplantae, Streptophyta, Magnoliopsida, Zingiberales, Musaceae. The transcript is spliced from 2 exons.
GGUUCAGGUACUGCUCUGUCCUCUUGUUGCUCCAAGUCAUGCGCUUGGUCUUCUUGUUCAGUUUGGUGAUGUGGAUCCGUCUGCUGUUCCUCGGGUUGGUGGAGAUCUCCUUCCGAUUGAGGUGCUUCGAACGAUUCAGAUCUCGAUCCGCUUCAGCCGCUUCAAGCAAGUCGGGCACUUCGUCUUCAUCUUCUUCUCGUUCUGGACCGCUCGUCUUCUCGAUUGUAUCUUCUUGUCCCGCUCCGUUGAUUGGUGCCGGUGCUGCGGAAGGAGGGGGCUCUCCAUGCAGAUCUGGUGCUUCCAUCUCGAUCGAGGGCUUUUGAGGUUGAUCAGGUACCUUUCUUCGCUCUUCUUCUUCAAAGUCUUUUUCUUUAGGUGUUUUGAUCUCUGCUUCCAUGUGCUUUGGUUCUCGAUCUCCAUUACGGUCCGUUCCUGAGCUUUCUGCUCCAUUCUGGUCCAAUUUCUCUUCGGCCCCUUCUCUUCUGAUUAGAUCCUCUUCUUUUCCUUGUUUGGUUUCUUCUUCUUCUUCCGCCUUUGGUGGUUUUGCAUCAUCAAUCGUGGCUCUCGCUUCGUUUGCUUCUGCAUGACCAUGAGGUCGGUCCAUAGAAAUCACUUCGUCUCCUUCAAGCUUCUGUUCCCUUGGAGCUUCUCCUCCUUGAACUUCUCGGAUUGCGAUUCCAGCGGCAUUACCUCUAACAGAUUUGGGCAUCAAAAUCACCAGAAUGUCUCCUUCCUCGUAAAAACCAGCAUCGAUCUGAUCCAACGCCACGCCAUUCGGGAUGCGAAACACCUUCCGAAACGGGUUAAUCUCGAACUCAUUCCUCAACCGCAGUCGUCUUCCAACCACCGUCUCAACGGCGGAUUUGUCCCCUCCUCCGCUGAUGCUAAUCUCCGUUCCCUCUUCAUUCACCGACACCUCGAUCUUCUCCCGCACCAAUCCUGCUGCAUCACAUCGUCGCUAAGAAAUCUGCGAUAACCAAAAAUAACCCAUAUGAUCGGAUGUGCCAUACCUGGAAGGUGAGCGAGGAGGACGAAGACGGCCUCCGUCUCGGUGGAGGCAAACGCGAGAUUCCUAGUGGCUCCCGUCACACUCAGGUCCAAUUCUAGCUCCAUAAUCCUAUAUUUCUGGACAUAGUAUUACUGGAAUAAAUGUAGCUAUAAGCGUCUUCCGUCGCAAGUAUGCGUUUCUUCGUCCCUUGACGGAGGAGAUGCUGAAAACGACAGAGAAGGUGGUGGAGGGAGGUUUGGGUGGUGAAGCUUUUGCGACCUUUGGAAGUUUACGGUUGCGUGGGCAGAAAGCUCAUUAACAGAGUACGAGUACACGAGCGAUUGAACACUUGUGUUUCAGAAGACUUACAUCACAAGCAAAGGAAACACAAGCAGAGACUUUAUUAGUUAAUAUCAAUCAUAUUGAUCAAGCAAUUUCGUGAAUCUUAAACACACGCACACAAACGAAGGCCUUCACGCGGUCCAGAACCACGUGCUUCGAUUAUUACCAACAUUGGAAGGUCACCAUGAACCCGAACAAUCCAUGCAGGGUCUGCACCGUCUUAGAAGAAAUGGUGGUGCUUCUUCCCAUGAGCCUCCUCGGCCUGCUCCUUGGCUUCCUUCCUCUCGUGGUGCUCGUGGGCGGCGUACCCUCCGCUGCCCACUGCCAUUGCCUUGCCGAUCUCCGCCUCCAUCUUGUGCCUACGAGCGUGCUCUGGGUCCUUCUCAACCUUGUGCUUCUCAUGCUGUGGUCACCAUUAUUGUGAUUGAUACAAGCACCAGCAUAUUUUGAUAUUGAAAGCCAAAACCCAUCUUAUACCGUAAGCACUAUGCAAAAUGUUAAUUAUUA